GCUUUGCAGCAGGGGUCCUUUUAGCUAAAGGCUAAUGCUCGCUAGCUACGUGCGCAGUGUGUCAGGAGCUGAGAGACAGAUAUGGAGCAGCUGGCUUACUGAGAAUGACCCCGAAAGAUGUCAGAGAUGUCCUGACGACAGCGACGUCUGACCGCUUUGACUCCCUCCUGCAUCGCCCCAGCUCCGUGGGAUAGGACGACCCGACCGUGCGCCGAAGGCUGUCGUCUCUGAACCCGCACCAGCUCCGCGAAAAAGCCUCCUCCGACCUCGUUCUGA
This is a long non-coding RNA of Mugil cephalus (flathead mullet), 276 nucleotides long. RefSeq lists it as uncharacterized. The transcript is spliced from 2 exons. Lineage: Eukaryota; Metazoa; Chordata; Actinopteri; Mugiliformes; Mugilidae. The record is from RefSeq and is a predicted model, not a curated record.